This 551-nucleotide ribosomal RNA is filed under the name Pleopis polyphemoides. RNAcentral describes it as "partial 12S ribosomal RNA". The record is from RNAcentral. Lineage: Eukaryota; Metazoa; Arthropoda; Branchiopoda; Diplostraca; Podonidae.
AGAGUGACGGGCGAUAUGUACACAUCCCAGAGCCAAAUUCAGUCAGCCUUUCUUAAACUAACUUACUAACAAAUCCACCUUCAUAAAGGAGUUACACCUUUAAUCCGUAUUUAAUAACUUUAAUUGUAGCUCAUCUAUGACUCAGCCAUAAGCUGCACCUUGACCUGAAGUGAAAGAACGAGUCUUCAAUGAAAACAUCCUAUAGGAGUAAUCUGACAACGGAGGUAUACAAGCUGAUUUACCAGGCUGAGUAAGAUUUAACGGGGAAUAUCGAUUACACGACAAGCUCCUCUGUAAGGUUAAGAUGCCGCCAAAAUCUUUGGGUUUGAAGAAUAUCUUUUACUACCCUGACAAGAAGUAGACUGGAAUAACAGGGUAUCUAAUCCUGGUUUCUCUCCCAGUUUUAUUAGAGCUUGAAAAAACAAGGAAGAACUUUAGGUUAUAGUAGAAAUUCCACCUAUAAAAUAACCAAUUUACUCCUUACUUGUAUUCUUCGAUCAACUAAACUUAAUCUUUUAUUCCAUUUGGGUCUGCCGUCUAACCGCGACGGG